AGCAGCCGCGGUAAUUCCAGCUCCAAUAGCGUAUAUUAAAGUUGUUGCAGUUAAAAAGCUCGUAGUUGAAUUUCGGGAUCGACGGGUCGGUCGCGCCUCCGGUGUGUACUGGCUCUGUCGGUUUCUCCCUUCUGACGAACCACGAUGUCAUUAAUUUGAUGUCGUGGGAAAUCAGGACUGUUACUUUGAAAAAAUUAGAGUGUUUAAAGCAGGCAUUCGCUUGAAUACAUUAGCAUGGAAUAAUGAAAUAGGACGUUUUGAUCUUAUUUUGUUGGUUUCUAAGAUCGACGUAAUGAUUAAUAGGGAUAGUUGGGGGCAUUAGUAUUCAAUUGUCAGAGGUGAAAUUCUUGGAUUUAUUGAAGACUAACUACUGCGAAAGCAUUUGCCAAGGAUGUUUUCAUUAAUCAAGAACGAAAGUUAGGGGAUCGAAGACGAUCAGAUACCGUCGUAGUCUUAACCAUAAACUAUGCCGACUAGGGAUCGGAUGAUGUUUAAUUUUUAAUGACUCAUUCGGCGUCCG
RNAcentral lists this ribosomal RNA (520 nucleotides) under uncultured Glomus. RNAcentral describes it as "SSU rRNA". It matches the Rfam family "Eukaryotic small subunit ribosomal RNA", at positions 569 to 1089 of the family's 1831-position model. Lineage: Eukaryota; Fungi; Glomeromycota; Glomeromycetes; Glomerales; Glomeraceae. The record is from RNAcentral.